Oryza sativa Japonica Group (Japanese rice) is the source of this 1524-nucleotide non-coding RNA. The record is from RefSeq and is a predicted model, not a curated record. NCBI's taxonomy places the organism in Eukaryota, Viridiplantae, Streptophyta, Magnoliopsida, Poales, Poaceae.
AAUUGCUCUGGUUUUCUGGUGGUUGUAGAGAGAAGAUAUAUGGGGACCACAAAUUGUCCCUCGUUACUGGUCCCUGAAUAGGGACAUGCUUGCUUUGACUCCAAUGGAACGCAAUCAAUUGUUCCAACCGGCUGGCCAGCAGUGACCGGGAUGUUUUACUCCAUCAAAAACAUGGCGUGACCGUGCGAGUCAAGAAGGAACACGCCAAUACCUUAUGUUCAGUUUGACAGCACGCCCGGAUGGAUGUACUCCAGUACCGUGCCAUUUUUUGUUUCCUGUUGUGUUCUGAGCAGCCGGUCGGCGACAAACAUACACAGUCAAGGUGUUCUGCCGCUUCGUUCUGUCCGCCUAAGGUAAAAACAAAAUGGAGCUGAUUUUGAAAAGAGAACUACUGCCGGGCGAGGAUGGUCUGGAUGGAUGGAUCAACUUUGAAAAGAAAUAAGAUGUAUGUUAAACAUCUCAUUCUUUUGCUGAUGCGCUGAAACGAGGCGCAGGGAAAAAUAAUUUCAGUCGAGAUGUCUUCAGUAACAGCGAUAUAAAUAACUUCUAGAAAAAAAAUUAAAUAAUAGGAAUCAGGAAGGCUAUACCAACUAAAGCUGGUACCCGAAUAAUUAUCCUUUUUAAUAGUAGUGCACACAAUUUAGCAAGAUAGAAGUGUAUACAUUAUUGCAGCCCUUAUGUAAACUGCUGAAAUCCUUUCCAUGAGCAAAUAUUUUUCUAAUUCAGUCAUAAAUGAAGAUAGUAAUCCACUCUCCAUGAAUAGAUUAUUAGUGUAAUUAAGCAUUGGUGACUUGAGCUGUACAGUAUAUGCAUCUGAGACAGAUUGCUCCUAGGACCAUUCCUGUAAAUUAAUACUAACUAUAAUCGAUUUACAUGAGUCUCUAAUUUGUCUGGUCCCUCUGAAGCUAAAGCUGGGAUUUUUCUUUUGGUGUAUUUGUUUGUGAUUCAUGAAACAUUUAGAUACACUUCAUCAUCUGUUGUGCGAUACCUUAGAGAAUCAUUUACUUUGAGUAUAAGUAAACAGAUCUACAUUCUACAAAAUAUUUUUAUUUGCUGAUACUUGCAGUUCUACUCAGUUGUCCCAAACUUGAUUUUCUCAAUUGUAAUUAUAGCCAAUCAUGGAGCCUAAAUUGAUACGAUUUUUGGGCUUAUGAAAUAAAGCCUAAUAAAGAUAAUUAAUAUUGGAAUUCAUAAGGUGCAUACGUAUAAUACAAAUCAAUAUAGUAGUAUUUGAAAGGCUAACAUCCAAUCAACAGUCAAGAAAGGAAGAUAGAGAAGGAAACAGAGAAUGAGGAAUAGAGAAGAGAGUGACCUUGGUUGUUCUGCCCUGGAUACCGAUUUGGUGAAUAGGUGUGGACGCAGCUCCUGCGGAUACCCUCCUCCUCGCCAUCGCUAUUCAUCUGUCAUCCCUUUCCCCCCUUCUUCAGGGUAGCGGGAGAUUAGAGGUGGAUGUGAUGCGCCGGUGCCGGUGGGGUAUACGGCGGCGGCAGGGGUGGGAUGGAGCCGCGGUGAUGAGGGGAUGAG